UUGCAGUAGAGGGGGUAAAGCCCACAGAUCAAGGAACUAAAAUAUGUAUGCUGUUGGUGGCACAUCAAUUCUAAUUUACUGAAUCAGAAAAGUAGCAUUAGUUUGAAAGUUCAAUUGAGAUAGACUCAACUACCAUAAAUCUUGCAGAUCACUUCAUUUCAUUCAACAAUGACAACUUGCAAUAUUUGACAAAUAUUUUCCAUAUGUUGUGUUUUAAGCUUCA
This 223-nucleotide long non-coding RNA is filed under the name Elaeis guineensis (African oil palm). RNAcentral's name for it is "long non-coding RNA (EGUI_LNC026938)". Lineage: Eukaryota; Viridiplantae; Streptophyta; Magnoliopsida; Arecales; Arecaceae. The record is from RNAcentral.